RNAcentral lists this long non-coding RNA (494 nucleotides) under Cricetulus griseus (Chinese hamster). RNAcentral describes it as "lncRNA (ENSCGRG00015035277.1)". The record is from RNAcentral. Lineage: Eukaryota; Metazoa; Chordata; Mammalia; Rodentia; Cricetidae.
UGCCUGCAUACUGCCAUGCUCCUUGCCAUGAUGAUAAUGGACUGAACCUCUGAAACUAAAAUUCCUUCUAGAUCUUCUGGACCGCUGUACCCAACCUACUUUAUGUUUUUUCUCUCCAUUGGGAAGUUCUUUCAUCACCUCUGAGUUGCUUAUCAGAUUCCUUCGAAUGUUGACUUUGGUCAGAGAGACUUCAUUAUGCAAUGGCAAUUUCAGAGAUGCAUAACUGGUAAGAUUGUUGCAAGUUUAGAAAUAAAUAGGACAUCUGUGUCACUCCCUCCAAGGCCCAGGACUAUCACUGAAGAUCAGAAACAUCCUAAGGAUCAGAAAGAACUGAAGCCAAUAAGAAGGGGGAGAGUACUUCAGAACUCUGUCAUUCAGGUAUGACCGGGCUGUUGAGCUCUGGAACUCACUGCAAUCAACAACCUGUCAUGGAAAGUAUGAGGGUCAACUGGGUCUUACCCAUCCUGAGGAUCUAGAUGGUUGAUAGGAGGAGA